AUGAACGCUGGCGGCGUGCCUAAUACCUGCAAGUCGAGCGCACAGACGAGGAGCUUGCUCCUCUGACGUUAGCGGCGGACGGGUGAGUAACACGUGGAUAACCUACCUAUAAGACUGGGAUAACUUCGGGAAACUGGAGCUAAUACCGGAUAAUAUAUUGAACCGCAUGGUUCAAUAGUGAAAGACGGUUUUGCUGUCACUUAUAGAUGGAUCCGCGCCGCAUUAGCUAGUUGGUAAGGUAACGGCUUACCAAGGCAACGAUGCGUAGCCGACCUGAGAGGGUGAUCGGCCACACUGGAACUGAGACACGGUCCAGACUCCUACGGGAGGCAGCAGUAGGGAAUCUUCCGCAAUGGGCGAAAGCCUGACGGAGCAACGCCGCGUGAGUGAUGAAGGUCUUCGGAUCGUAAAACUCUGUUAUUAGGGAAGAACAAAUGUGUAAGUAACUAUGCACGUCUUGACGGUACCUAAUCAGAAAGCCACGGCUAACUACGUG
This 496-nucleotide ribosomal RNA is filed under the name uncultured bacterium. RNAcentral describes it as "partial 16S ribosomal RNA". It matches the Rfam family "Bacterial small subunit ribosomal RNA", at positions 29 to 507 of the family's 1533-position model. The record is from RNAcentral.